AAUCGUGCGUUGAAGGAUUGGAGUAGAAAACAAAUCAAUGCUACAGAGAACUGACGGGUGGUGCAAGUCAGUGCAAAUUUGUUUUUGAAUUACGACCUGGAGCAAUCUUCUGGUAUGAAUCAGAAGACGGUGAUGUGAAGCCGUUAUCUAUUGAAGUGGCACUUAAUGUGCAACAAGGGUGGUACCGCGAAGAGACCUCGUCCCUUUU
Molecule: non-coding RNA, 208 nt
Organism: Halobacillus mangrovi
Lineage: Bacteria; Bacillati; Bacillota; Bacilli; Caryophanales; Bacillaceae
Source: Rfam